This 82-nucleotide transfer RNA is filed under the name Gemmatimonadaceae bacterium. Its description in RNAcentral is "tRNA-Leu". It matches the Rfam family "tRNA". Rfam says of the family: Transfer RNA (tRNA) molecules are approximately 80 nucleotides in length. Their secondary structure includes four short double-helical elements and three loops (D, anti-codon, and T loops). The record is from RNAcentral. Lineage: Bacteria; Pseudomonadati; Gemmatimonadota; Gemmatimonadia; Gemmatimonadales; Gemmatimonadaceae. RNAcentral also lists the same sequence under 1 other name.
GCGGGAGUGGCGGAAUUGGUAGACGCGCUGGACUUAGGAUCCAGUGGGGAAACCCGUCCGGGUUCGAGUCCCGGCUCUCGCA